RNAcentral lists this ribosomal RNA (400 nucleotides) under phytoplankton environmental sample. RNAcentral describes it as "partial small subunit ribosomal RNA". It matches the Rfam family "Eukaryotic small subunit ribosomal RNA", at positions 587 to 989 of the family's 1831-position model. The record is from RNAcentral.
AGCUCCAAUAGCGUAUAUUAAAGUUGUUGCAGUUAAAAAGCUCGUAGUUGGAUCUCGGGUCCAGGCUUGCGGUUCGCCUCGCGGCGGCACUGCUCGUUUCCUGGGACCUACUGGCCGGUCUGCCCCUGGUGCUCUUAACUGAGUGUCUCGGGUCGCCGGAACGUUUACUUUGAAAAAAUUAGAGUGUUCAAAGCAGGCGCGUCGCCUGAAUACUGGUGCAUGGAAUAAUGGAAUAGGACCUUGUUUCUAUUUUGUUGGUUUUCUGAAGCGAGGUAAUGAUUAAGAGGGACAGCCGGGGGCAUCGGUAUUGCGGCGUUAGAGGUGAAAUUCUUGGAUCGCCGCAAGACGAACUAGUGCGAAAGCAUUUGCCAAGAAUGUUUUCAUUAAUCAAGAACGAAAG